RNAcentral lists this ribosomal RNA (1396 nucleotides) under metagenome. RNAcentral describes it as "bacterial SSU rRNA". It matches the Rfam family "Bacterial small subunit ribosomal RNA". The record is from RNAcentral.
AGAGUUUGAUCCUGGCUCAGAGUGAACGCUGGCGGCGUGCUUAACACAUGCAAGUCGAACGGUAACAGAAGAAGCUUGCUUCUUGCUGACGAGUGGCGGACGGGUGAGUAAUGUAUAGAUAUGUGCCCCAUAGAUUAGGAUAGCCACUGGAAACGGUGAUUAAUACUAGAUACUCCUUACGAGGGAAAGCUUUUGCGCUAUGGGAUCGGUCUAUAUGGUAUCAGGUAGUUGGUGAGGUAAGAGCUCACCAAGCCAAUGACACCUAGCUGGUCUGAGAGGAUGAUCAGCCACACUGGAACUGAGACACGGUCCAGACUCCUACGGGAGGCAGCAGUGGGGAAUAUUGCACAAUGGGGGAAACCCUGAUGCAGCAACGCCGCGUGGAGGAUGACGCAUUUCGGUGUGUAAACUCCUUUUAUAUGGAAGAUAAUGACGGUACCAUAUGAAUAAGCACCGGCUAACUCCGUGCCAGCAGCCGCGGUAAUACGGAGGGUGCAAGCGUUACUCGGAAUCACUGGGCGUAAAGCGCGCGCAGGCGGGUUUGUAAGUUGGAAGUGAAAUCCACUGGCUUAACCAGUGAACUGCUUCCAAAACUACUAACCUAGAGUGUGGGAGGGGAAGAUGGAAUUAGUUGUGUAGGGGUAAAAUCCGUAGAGAUAACUAGGAAUACCAAAAGCGAAGGCGAUCUUCUGGAACACUACUGACGCUGAGGCGCGAAAGCAUGGGGAGCAAACAGGAUCAGAUACCCUGGUAGUCCAUGCCCUAAACGAUGAAUGUUAGUCGUUGGUAUGCUCGUCAUAUCAGUGAUGCACUUAACAGAUUAAACAUUCCGCCUGGGGAGUACGGUCGCAAGAUUAAAACUCAAAGGAAUAGACGGGGACCCGCACAAGUGGUGGAGCAUGUGGUUUAAUUCGAAAAUACGCGAAGAACCUUACCUAGCCUUGACAUUGAUUGAAUUCGAUAGAGAUAUUGAAGUGCCCUUUUGGGAACAUGAAAACAGGUGCUGCACGGCUGUCGUCAGCUCGUGUCGUGAGAUGUUGGGUUAAGUCCCGCAUCGAGCGCAACCCUCGUGACUAGUUACUAACGGUUUGGCCGAGGACUCUAGUCAGACUGCCUUCGUAAGGAGGAGGAAGGUGAGGACGACGUCAAGUCAUCUUGGCCCUUACGGCUAGGGCGACACACGUGCUACAAUGGUUAGGACAAUGAGAGGCAAUACCGCGAGGUGGAGCAAAUCUAUAAACCUAAUCUCAGUUCGGAUUGUAGUCUGCAACUCGACUACAUGAAGCUGGAAUCACUAGUAAUCGUAGAUCAGCCAUGCUACGGUGAAUACGUUCCCGGGUCUUGUACUCACCGCCCGUCACACCAUGGGAGUUGAUUUCACCCGAAGCGGGGAAGC